This 253-nucleotide ribosomal RNA is filed under the name uncultured bacterium. RNAcentral describes it as "partial 16S ribosomal RNA". It matches the Rfam family "Bacterial small subunit ribosomal RNA", at positions 524 to 776 of the family's 1533-position model. The record is from RNAcentral.
UACGGAGGGUGCAAGCGUUAUCCGGAUUUACUGGGUUUAAAGGGUGUGUAGGCGGACUUUUAAGUCAGCGGUGAAAUCUCCGGGCUCAACCCGGAAACUGCCAUUGAUACUAUUGGUUUUGAAUGUUGUUGAGGUGGGCGGAACGGGUCAUGUAGCGGUGAAAUGCAUAGAUAUGACCCGGAACACCGAUUGCGAAGGCAGCCCACUAAGCAACGAUUGACGCUGAGGCACGAAAGCGUGGGGAUCAAACAGG